CGACCGGCGCACGGGUGCGUAACGCGUAUGCAACCUACCUCAUACUGGAGGAUAGCCCCUGGAAACGGGGAUUAAUACUCCAUAGUAUCACGAAUUCGCAUGUUUUUGUGAUUAAAGUUUUUCGGUGUGAGAUGGGCAUGCGUCCCAUUAGCUUGUUGGUGAGGUAACGGCUCACCAAGGCAACGAUGGGUAGGGGGCCUGAGAGGGUGGUCCCCCACACUGGUACUGAGACACGGACCAG
RNAcentral lists this ribosomal RNA (241 nucleotides) under uncultured bacterium. RNAcentral's name for it is "partial 16S ribosomal RNA". It matches the Rfam family "Bacterial small subunit ribosomal RNA", at positions 92 to 334 of the family's 1533-position model. The record is from RNAcentral.